AUUUGAAUAGUUUAAAAAAAUAGUAAUUUGUGAUAUUAAAGAUGUAGAUUUUACUUCAAAUA
Molecule: transfer RNA, 62 nt
Filed under: Disteniidae sp. BMNH 899837
Lineage: Eukaryota; Metazoa; Arthropoda; Insecta; Coleoptera; Cerambycidae
Description: tRNA-His
Source: RNAcentral